AGGAUGAACGCUGGCGGCGUGCCUAACACAUGCAAGUCGAACGUCCUGUCUCGCAAGAGGCAGGGAGUGGCGGACGGGUGAGUACCACGUGGGUCAUCUACCGUGAGGUGAGGAAUACCGGCGAGAAAUCGCCGACAAGACCGCAUAGGCUCGAUGCAAGUCGAGCAAAGCUCUUUCGAGAGAGGGAGCGCCACACGAGGAGCCUGCGCCCGAUUAGCUAGCUGGUGGAGUAACGGUUCACCAGGGCGACGAUCGGUAGCUGGUCUGAGAGGACGAUCAGCCACACUGGGAUUGAGAACGGCCCAGACUCCUACGGGGGGCAGCAGUGAGGAAUUUUCGUCAAUGGGGGCAACCCUGAACGAGCAACGCCGCGUGCAGGAAGAAGGUUUCGGAUCGUAAACUGCUUUUCGUCGGGAAGAGAACGGACGGUACCGAGGAAUCAGCCCCGGCUAACUACGUGCCAGCAGCCGCGGU
This 474-nucleotide ribosomal RNA is filed under the name uncultured bacterium. RNAcentral describes it as "SSU rRNA". It matches the Rfam family "Bacterial small subunit ribosomal RNA", at positions 26 to 521 of the family's 1533-position model. The record is from RNAcentral.